RNAcentral lists this ribosomal RNA (544 nucleotides) under uncultured Glomeromycotina. Its description in RNAcentral is "SSU rRNA". It matches the Rfam family "Eukaryotic small subunit ribosomal RNA", at positions 548 to 1098 of the family's 1831-position model. The record is from RNAcentral. Lineage: Eukaryota; Fungi; Glomeromycota.
UUGGAGGGCAAGUCUGGUGCCAGCAGCCGCGGUAAUUCCAGCUCCAAUAGCGUAUAUUAAAGUUGUUGCAGUUAAAAAGCUCGUAGUUGAAUUUCGGGGUUCUACCGUUGGUCGGGCUUUGUCUGUACUGGUGUGUAGAAUUUCUACCUUCUGGGGAACCAUCAUGCUAUUAAUUUAGCGUGGUGGGAAACCAGGACCUUUACCUUGAAAAAAUUAGUGUGUUCAAAGCAGGCUUAUGUCUGAAUACAUUAGCGUGGAAUAAUAGAAUAGGACGGUGGUCCUGUUUUGUUGGUUUCUGAAUCACCGUAAUGAUUAAUAGGGAUAGUUGGGGGCAUUAGUAUUCAAUUGUCAGAGGUGAAAUUCUUGGAUUUAUUGAAGACUAACUUCUGCGAAAGCAUUUGCCAAGGAUGUUUUCAUUAAUCAAGAGCGAAAGUUAGGGGAUCGAAGACGAUCAGAUACCGUCGUAGUCUUAACCAUAAACUAUGCCGACUAGGGAUCGGACGAUGUUAAUUUUUCUUGACUCGUUCGGCGCCUUACGGGAAAC